Molecule: ribosomal RNA, 141 nt
Filed under: Gallibacterium anatis str. Avicor
Lineage: Bacteria; Pseudomonadati; Pseudomonadota; Gammaproteobacteria; Pasteurellales; Pasteurellaceae
Description: partial 16S ribosomal RNA
Rfam family: Bacterial small subunit ribosomal RNA (bases 1-89)
Source: RNAcentral
GGAGGGCGUUUACCACGGUAUGAUUCAUGACUGGGGUGAAGUCGUAACAAGGUAACCGUAGGGGAACCUGCGGUUGGAUCACCUCCUUACAGAAAGGGUACUUGAGGUGUUAGCUAGGCGUGCUCACACAGAUUGUUUGAU